RNAcentral lists this ribosomal RNA (253 nucleotides) under uncultured bacterium. Its description in RNAcentral is "partial 16S ribosomal RNA". It matches the Rfam family "Bacterial small subunit ribosomal RNA", at positions 524 to 776 of the family's 1533-position model. The record is from RNAcentral.
UACGAAGGGGGCUAGCGUUGCUCGGAAUUACUGGGCGUAAAGCGCACGUAGGCGGUCUUUUAAGUCGGGGGUGAAAUCCUGGAGCUCAACUCCAGAACUGCCUUCGAUACUGGAAGACUCGAGUCCGGGAGAGGUGAGUGGAACUGCGAGUGUAGAGGUGAAAUUCGUAGAUAUUCGCAAGAACACCAGUGGCGAAGGCGGCUCACUGGCCCGGUACUGACGCUGAGGAGCGAAAGCGUGGGGAGCGAACAGG